ACUGUUGUUCAACCAUCAAAGAAACCAAAGAAGAGAAACAAUGUAACUAUUUGUAAAAGAACAAUAAACUUCAAUGAAAGUUUGUAGCUUUCACAUUAAAAGGUAGAGUCAGAAUGUGCAGAACAUCAUUCAAGUCUUCUACUACAAGUUUUACUUCUAAAUCUUACAACAUUCAUGUCUAUUUGAAGAACAAAAUGUAAUAUGCAGAUUCUACAUAACAGAAGUUUGAGUAAAGUCUGAGUAAAUGAGCAUCAGAAAUCAACAUAAGACAACUAUGAACACUUCAAAUAUGUCCCAUUUUUAAGAAAGAAGAAUCAUCAAGCAACAUUACAAACUUUAGUAGAGUAAGA
This 350-nucleotide long non-coding RNA is filed under the name Lathyrus oleraceus (garden pea). RNAcentral's name for it is "Pisum sativum (pea) long non-coding RNA (PSAT_LNC002783)". The record is from RNAcentral. Lineage: Eukaryota; Viridiplantae; Streptophyta; Magnoliopsida; Fabales; Fabaceae.